This 253-nucleotide ribosomal RNA is filed under the name uncultured bacterium. Its description in RNAcentral is "partial 16S ribosomal RNA". It matches the Rfam family "Bacterial small subunit ribosomal RNA", at positions 524 to 776 of the family's 1533-position model. The record is from RNAcentral.
UACGUAGGGGGCAAGCGUUGUCCGGAUUUACUGGGCGUAAAAGGCUCGUAGGCGGCUCGUCCAGUCGGACGUGAAAUCUCCCGGCUCAACCGGGAGAGGUCGUUCGAUACUAGCGGGCUCGAGGCCGGUAGAGGGAAGCGGAAUUCCGGGUGUAGUGGUGGAAUACGUAGAUAUCCGGAGGAACACCAGUGGCGAAGGCGGCUUCCUGGACCGGUUCUGACACUGAGGAGCGAAAGCGUGGGGAGCGAUCCGG